RNAcentral lists this ribosomal RNA (501 nucleotides) under Spathomorpha adefa. Its description in RNAcentral is "partial large subunit ribosomal RNA". The record is from RNAcentral. Lineage: Eukaryota; Metazoa; Arthropoda; Insecta; Phasmatodea; Phasmatidae.
UUCGAAAGGGAUCGGAUUCAUUUCCUUCGGGUGCAGCCCGACCGCUUGUGCUUUGCCGUAUGGUGUCGGUGUCCCGGAGCAAUUCACUUUGCUUUCGGUGUACCCUGGCUUUAGCUAGGUGGUGCAGCGUGUCCGUGGUCCUCGAGGAAUGCACUUCCUCCCUAGUAGAAACGUCGCGACCCGUUGGGUGCCGGUCAGAGGCCUGCGAUGGUGGACCGUGUGUCCUGUGCGGAGUAAUCCGUGCAGGCAUGCGGACUCGUGGUGACCCGGCUGGCUGCCCGACGGUAUGUCAAGAGGAGUCGAUCCGCCGAACGUGAAAUAUUGGAAGUGGGGCGUCCGGCCCGGCAUCGAUGCGUGCGGAGAUUGCGAUGAUGAUCGUGGGGUGUUCGUGCUUGUGCACGUCGCCUGAUCUUUCGUGCUGUCGGCUGCUGGUGUUCUCGGAUGGGAUCGUUCUCCAAUCUGCGACGCCCAUUUUCGGAUGGUCUCCCGACCCGUCUUGAA